This 1351-nucleotide unclassified non-coding RNA is filed under the name Acanthaster planci (crown-of-thorns starfish). Its description in RNAcentral is "tyrosine kinase receptor Cad96Ca-like, transcript variant X2". The record is from RNAcentral. Lineage: Eukaryota; Metazoa; Echinodermata; Asteroidea; Valvatida; Acanthasteridae.
AUAAUACGUAUACAGUUGGAGUAUAAUCAUUUUACUUUUUUUGUUUCAGAAAUUAUGGUUACCGAAAUACCAUCCACAGAAAAAUCCUCUAACGUCAACAUUGGUGGUAUAGCAGGUGGUGCUAUCCUUUGCUUUGGUAUUCUGGUGUUACUUUUUGUGCUCGAAAUUUUUCUGAGACGAAGAACACUGAAGAAGCGAGCGGAAGAGAAGUUGGAAGCAGCGAAAAAAUCAUUAAACUGUGGCUAUGAGAUCCCCAGGAAGACAUUAGAGGAAACUUCUUACAAUAUAAUUGAAGAAACCACGUUCAGCCAUUCCAACAAGGAGCAAGAGAGUUCCAUCAACAGUGAUACCUCAGAGUGGGAAGACGAUUUUCAACUUGAUGAUCAAUCGACGGGUAGCAAAGACGAUGACAACCUUCCGCCCAAACAAAAUCAUUCAGACGGACCCAGUGUGUACCAAGAUAUCUCAGAAUUUCGCAAGCUACCGUCUAAUGGUCCAGAGCUUGCUUUACCGACAUUGCGAGAGAGUUGUCUGGAACAAAAUAUCUACCAGUCAAUCUCAGAACGAGAAACUCCCCAGUAUGGCAAUGUGGCCCAUCCUGAUAAAGCUUUUCCCAGGGGAAAUCUGAAAAUCAUCAAAGAGCUUGGCCGGGGAACCUUCAGUCGGGUGUUACUUGCUGAUGCAGAUGGUAUUGUUGACGGGGCGAAGGUCACGUUGGUCGCCGUCAAAACAGUCCAUGGGGAGGCGACUGAAGCUGACAAGGCGGCAAUGUUGAAGGAGCUGAAUGUGAUGAAAACUCUGCCAGAUCAUCCGAAUAUAAUUCAACUGCUCGGUUACUGCACAGAUCAAGACCCUCCCUACAUCAUCUUGGAGUUCUUAGCAAAGGGAAACCUAAAGGACUUCCUACACUACAGUCGAAGUCAGUGUGGAUUGAUGUAUGGUAAUUUGCGUGGCUUAAGCAAAUCACUGUCACCCAAACAUUUCCUGAAGUUUGCAAAGGAUGUUGCCGAUGGUAUGGAAUUCAUAGCCUCACAACAGUGUAUCCAUAGGGACCUGGCUGCCCGCAACGUACUUGUGGCAGACGACUUGACUUGUAAAGUGGCUGAUUUCGGACUCGCUCGGGACAUCAUGAACACCAGGCUGUAUGAGAGACGAUCAGCAGCGCCCGCCCGUAUCCUAAUAUGCACCACACGACCAUGAUCGCAGAGCUACAGAAAGGCUAUCGUAUGCCCAAACCACUACACUGCACGACCAAAUUGUAUCGCAUGAUGCUGAAAUGCUGGCGUAUGGGUCCCGAGAGACGUCCUACUUUUACUCAGAUCAGUGACAAGUUAAAGAAACUCCUACGAGA